This 419-nucleotide ribosomal RNA is filed under the name bacterium. RNAcentral describes it as "partial 16S ribosomal RNA". It matches the Rfam family "Bacterial small subunit ribosomal RNA", at positions 355 to 776 of the family's 1533-position model. The record is from RNAcentral.
UGGGGGAUAUUGCACAAUGGGCGAAAGCCUGAUGCAGCGACGCCGCGUGGGGGAUGAAGGCCUUCGGGUUGUAAACUUCUUUUGCUCUGAACAAGGCAUGCUAAUGGGUGUGUUGAGUGUAGGGGUUGAUUAGCGCCGGCUAACUACGUGCCAGCAGCCGCGGUAAUACGUAGGGCGCGAGCGUUGUCCGGAAUUAUUGGGCGUAAAGGGCUUGUAGGUGGCUGGUUGCGUCUGUCGUGAAAGCUCAUGGCUUAACUGUGGGUUUGCGGUGGGUACGGGCUGGCUUGAGUGCAGUAGGGGAGACUGGAAUUCCUGGUGUAGCGGUGGAAUGCGCAGAUAUCAGGAGGAAUACCGGUGGCGAAGGCGGGGCUCUGGGCUGUUACUGACACUGAGGAGCGAAAGCAUGGGGAGCGAACAGG